Molecule: non-coding RNA, 5977 nt
Organism: Lolium perenne
Lineage: Eukaryota; Viridiplantae; Streptophyta; Magnoliopsida; Poales; Poaceae
Source: RefSeq, a predicted model, not a curated record
AUGUCUAACACUCCCCAAUCCGCCUCCUCUUCCCCAAUCCCUCGCCGUCCUCUCUUCCUCAAUCCCCGUCCUCCACUCUCUCCCCAAUCCCCAUCCUGACCUUGCGCGGCUGGGAGGAGCAGAUGCCUCUUCCUCCACCUCUCCCGCCGGAGGCCAAUCCCUGCGCGCGCAUUGGCUCCUCCCCAAUCCCCUUUCGCUCCUCCUCCAAUCCCCUCCAUCUCCACGUGCCACAAAGAGAGCAGCGGGUGGUGGCCGGCGGGAGCAGCGCAGUCGCUGCCGCGCGCCGUGGAACGCUGGGAGGAGCUGCAGCAAGCCCUCUCCACAGCCUACCCACGCUGGCGCCGGUGAAGUAGAUGUUGGGGCCUGGCGGAGGAACUACCACGGCGGAUGAGCAGCGCGCGAAGGGCAGGUGCACCGGCGGCCUCGAUUUCGUGCCGUGGAGAGGGCGACGGGAUGGGAGAUGGUCGUCCGCCUCUCGGUCUUCUCCACCCAGCUGGUGGCUGCCUUCGAAUCCAAUCCUUUGUCACCUCCAAGCUCUCCCAUCAGGACCCAUAGAGGCCUGCAGCGGCAGUUGCCAGCCACGUCCAGCCUCACAUGAAACGAAGGUGCCCAGGAUCUUUUCUUCCUUAUGGUUUUCCACCUCCUUCUCUCUCUCUAUUUAGUCCCUCCAAAUCUUAUGUAUGUGCAGAUUCUAUGUAUUAUGCCUGCAAGGUGUUUGAAAAAAUUCCAAGCAGGUUAUUCUCAAUUUUCCAUGUGAAUUCCAAGCAUGUUGUUCUCAAAUUUUGUUUCAUAAUCAAAACAAUCAAAACCAAAUAUUUUAGUUUCAUAAUCUUAAACUGCAAAUACUCAUUCAUUUUAGGCUCAAGAUUUUUUUAGCUAUAUCUGAAUUUUUUGCUUCAGGUUUCAAUGUUCUGUACUAAUAAGAAUGAGGUUAGAUGAGACAACUAUUUUAGUUUUGAUGGGAGAGAUGGAAAUUCCCACCUUCUCAGUUUUCAAGGACAAAGGUGAGGCAUGUGUUUUAUUUUUUUAAACUGAAGCACAAUAUGUGUCUCUUUGGCUUAUAUUUGCAUAUAUUGUCGCAUAUUUUAGUCUCUUCUGGUUUGAAAACUGCAAAAUGAAAAUGAUUAAUUUACUGUUUGAUGUUUGAGUUUAUUGGGAGCUGUAAUUUUUGAGCUGGUUUGUGUUUAGUUGGCAUUAAUUUUCAUUAUGCUUACAUGGUUACUGAUUUUUGAAUUGUUCGACAUUUUAUUAGAUCAAAUGAUUACCGGUUUCCGACCUUCCAUCCAGAGAGCAAUCAGAGGGAAAGCUUGAAGACGCUUUAGGUUAUAUCAACGAUGAUUCAUAUGGUCAAGUGUAUGUUCAGAGAUAUUUAAGUCUAUUUAGAUAUUGGAUAAUAUUUUAGAUUGAUCUUUGGGUGCUUUUUUCUCUUAUUGUAUAGAUCACUUUAGUUUCACAAUUUCUCUUGUCAUUCCAAUAAUUACCUACUACUAUUUCCAGUCUGCUGCACUCUAUAUGAAAAAUCUGGUCUGAAUCAUUCAAACUGUGUUUUGGCGAGGAUAGGCUUCUCCUCUGUUUUAGAUACAACAUUUAUAGACAGUGUUACAUGAACUGAGCACCUACUGUAAAUUCAUAUAAAAUCAGAAAACAAUUUUGAAAACAGGGCACUAAAGCUAGCUUUGGUUUAGAUCUAAUAUCUUGCAAUCAAAACUGACCGAGAAAUAACACAAAAAGAUCAUGUCCAGCUAGGUGUACAUAGGCUGAUGAUGUCCACUUCAUUUCAAAAUGUGGGAACUGUGAAACACAAAUACCUUGAAGCAUAUAUAUAUGAUCUGAAAUUUGAGAAGUACCACUAUAUAUGUUCUGCUGCAAAUACUAUAGCAUAUGACAAUAAAUUUUGCUCUUCAAAAGCUACACAAGCAGAGAAUUACUACUUCUGUAGACUAAUCAUUUUUUUACCUAUCGAUAACUACCACUUGCUUACAUGAAGCUAUGACGAUGUGUGUUUGCUCCCAAGACAGACAAGAGAAACUAACUCUUGAGAUUCUAUACAGCAUGUGAUCUCCAUGAAUUUUGAUUACUCUUUGUUGACUCUGUUAACUCUUUGGUAGCAACUCUCCUGUUUUCAGAUAUGCUUACCCAUAGGAUGUUCUUUAAGAUGAAUACUUUGUAGAGACUGAACCAUGUAAUUCUUUCAAGUAAGUUUACAAUAAUAAUCUUGCACUAAUUCCGGUUUGUUCCAUCUUUAUCUAUAUCCUGGUGAACAUGCUAAAGAAACACGCUUGCCUGUCCACAAGCACUUUGUAGGUAUGUAGUUUUUCCAAAGUGAUAUGUCACCUUCAACAAUCAUCCUUGUCUGGUUAAACGCGAGGAUGGCACUAUUGGGCCCAUCAUAUUCUCCAUUUCGAAAAAAAAAUUCGGACCUUCAAAGAUUAUAACAGCCAUGCUCAUAGAGCAUCAUUUCUUUUUUCUAUCUAUUAACCCUGCUUUAGUCAGCAGUUCCAAUCCUAAAAAAUUUGGUCAUAAACUUUUUUUUAGGAAGUUCUCGAAUAUAUAAUAUUUGAGUCAAUGUAUUUGACAUGGGUAGUGCAACUUCAAGUGCAUUCAGAUGCUUUCGUUGUUCUUCUGCACACAACCUGCUAUGAAAUGACUAAAGAAUAACAAUUUCGCAUCUUGCAGGAAUUAUUGCAGGUGUUUGAAGAGAAAAUAUACUUAGGAAGGAAUGAGCAAUCAUUGCCGCAUCUAUUAUUUUGUAGAUAAGCUCCACUCUUGCCUCAUGUGUUGUAUUUGAUGAGCGCGCACAGCAUGUUCGGAUUUGCUCUAUCCUGCCCCCAUUUUCAAGCAAUGAAUAAGGUGGUGCAUGCUUGAACUGAGCAAGACCUGAGCAUGAACUACCUAAUACUUGUGCUGGCUACCGACGGAAGAUCGCGUGUGCUCAAAACUUGCUCCUUGCAAUUAUGGGGGCGGGAUAAAAUUCUGGCUAUACAUGCAUCCAAAGGUCUAUCCUAAACUUUAUGCUCUACUUGCUGCUAUAUGUUUUCUUUGGUUUGUGUGAGCAUAUAUCUUCUUUCGGGAAUUUUCACAGCAAAACAACGCUGGAUAGUUACUCUGUCAAGUAAUAUCUCCAUUUCACAACAUAAGCUGUGUUAGCAAAAUAUUUUACUUUGCUAAAAGGACUUAUAUCAUGAAAUGGAGUGAUAUUUGGCAUUGGAUCAGUGUCCAUGUGUCUCUUUGAUAGUUCAGCGAUUUUAUACUUGCAUGAACCUUGUCAGAUAUAGCAUUCACUGUUUUGUACUGUAGCGAAAAAGGUAGUGUUGCCUACAGAACCCCAAAUCUAUUUAUGGCGUAAUAUACCAAUUGCUUUUUUUGUACUAUAUCUAUUUGUUCAUUUUCAGUUCAUUGUAUCAGUUCCCAAGUUUUAUUUCCUCUUGUAUGUGUUGGGUUACUACAUUAAUUUAAAGUGGAAGUGCCUUUUUUUAGUAGCUCUUGUGUGAUAUUUGUGUUUAUUUCCUGCAAGUUAGCUUGCUCGGGUAGAGGCAUGCCACACACUUGAUAAUGCACACCAUAAGACUUCUAGGCAGGAAAGUUCUAACAUCCUUUGGCGUACCACACACAUGCAUAAUUGAAUGGUACCGUGGAUAAUUUUCUGUUUGAGUGCAAGCCUCACCAUUUGUUUCUCCGGUGAACUAUGCAUCACACACUAAAAUUUAAUAGAGGCACAACAUGUUCGGGAUAAGUCUGAAUAUUUUUGCAAUAAUGAAAUAAAAGGCUGUAUGUAUCAUUUUGAUACAAAGGCUGGGGCUUUUUCCCCCCCUUUCGAAGAAAAAAAUAGAAGCACGACAUAUUUCUCAUUUCUCUUCACAAACUAUAAUGGUUUGUUUAACUCACGUUGCUUCUUUAUAUAUCUAAUAAUGACUUUGCUUUUUACCUCUUUGUUAUAAUCAUAUUUUAUGUUCCAUACUAUAAUGGUCUUCGUCCUUGCUGGAUGCCCGAACCAUUACCAAAGAGUGAGGCCUAGGAGGAGCUAGACAUUGAUUUAAUUACAUCGGAGUUGAGGAUCGUUCCCAGUCUGGCCAAUUCACUUUCAGUGUUAUGCUUGUAAGCUCUUGGGUGACUUCUUGAUGCAUGGACCAUUGCUUGUCUUCCUCCCUACUUGAAAUAUUGUGUUUUUCAUACAUCACUCUUUGCUCUGAAAUUAAUUAGUAGAACAUUUUAGGCUUCCAUAGAUCUGCUCAAAAUUGCCCUAGCACACAGUAGCAUGGAAUUUUCCUACUAGCUAUGUCAGUGUGAUUGAUAUUUACCUUCUAUCUGGUUAUGCCGUGGAAAUAAGAAGCAGUAAAUAGUUUCAUUGUCAUCCAAGCUCCAAAGUAGUGCUUUCACUUUGAAACUAAUUUGUUUCUCCAAUAUAUCUCAUCAUAUUUUAAUUAUAGGCCAGAAAAUAUAUUUGGGGUUAUUAUAACUACGAAUGAAAAUCAUGUACAUAUGUCAUAUCUGAUCUCUGCAAUGUGGUCAAAGAUUGGUUGUUUUUAAUCUACCACCAAGAAACUCUUCCUUAUUCAGGGUAUCAGCUUGUUAGUAUGAAUUAUUAGCUGAAGGAGGUUCAGAGUAGCACAUCUCAUGCAUGCUAGCUAUUUAUAGAAUGAGUGCACCAAGGGAGCAACAUAGAGGCAUGUAGCAACCUGAUGAUGGAGAAAUGUAAAAAAAAUCAGCAGACAUGAGUUCACAAUAUUUUCUUCAGGAGGUAUGAUACUCGAAGCAGCCUAUGAGACAUUAUUACAUAUUUACAGUUGAAAUACAGAAAUGAUCUAUAGAAUUUCGUCUUUACUGAUUCAUUAUGUUGUCAGCUGACAAUGUAGUAGCUGUGCUAGAAUGCAUGCUAUUUACUACUGUAUGCUUAAUAUCAUAUUGGUGUAAGCAAUUGGUUUAAUAAUUAUAUAGCUCCAAGUAAGUUAAUAAUAUAGUUAAAUGGAUAUAAAUGAUGAUACUAUAAUUGAUUUGAAAUUCGUCCUUACUUCCCAGCAUAUUUAGCAUAUUUCUCACUGUACAAUCCUGUUGACAUAAUCAAAUAUGUGUUGGGGGUGUUUUUGUAGGAUAUAAGAAUUGGGCUUUGAUUAAUGAUGGGAUUAUGCAGCAGCAAUGCAAUCUUCACCAGCAAAAUUUCAGAUGGAACUAUUAAGCGUGGAAAGGAUAAAGAAAUAAUAAUUUUAAUGUCAAAAUAAACACUCUAUAAUAUGAAACCAUUUCCUUCUCUACAAAAGAAAUUAAGAACGGAAAGAAAUGUCUUUACAUAACAUUUAAACUCGAAGAGCAUAUUGUGCAUACUAUAUCUACAGUAAGCAUGAGAAGUCUUAGCAGCCAUGAGAAAUGCCUUUUUCCUUUUUGUUAUCGCUGUUGCAUUUGGUUGCCAAAAGUGUCUGGGUCUCUUUAUCUUGCAUCUAUAAAAGCAUCAAAAACAUUAAAUGUGUGAAACUGAAAUUUGGUAGCAAAUUGAACUGUACUUCACAAGUGGCUAGAUUUAGUUCUGUCGGUUCAGGUUGUAGGAUAAUAUCCUUCUAGACCAUUUCACUUCCAAACUACAAACAUUCAAUAUAUGUUGUAUUGUCCAUAAUUUGUUUGCCUCUGUCAUUGAACUGCAUGCUUUUUAAUUUAAAUCAUCUCUGAUGUGUGAAGAAAUGAAUUGUUUUGAAUUGCUUCUCAGUUCUGAAAUCAGCUUUUUUUCUUGAUGCAUUGUUAUGAUAUUUUCGCACUAUUGUAAAUAUUUUGUCUAUCUCUCAUCGAACAACUUAUUUUACACUUUACACUGCUGGGCCCUCUCUUAUGAUUACUUCAAAAGUAAUUAUGUUAAACAUGGAUGCAUCUUGAGAGCGCUGUUAAACUAUUGUUUAGCUAAAAAGGAUUAGAGGUACACUAUCUUUUCAUCUGGUUUGUAUUGUAAACACAUGCCGUGAUACUACAGAUACACACAAAAUAUUUUACCCAA